AGUGAACGCUGGCGGUAGGCCUGACACAUGCAAGUCGAACGGCAGCACAGGAGAGCUUGCUCUCUGGGUGGCGAGUGGCGGACGGGUGAGGAAUACAUCGGAGUCUACUUUUUCGUGGGGGAUAACGUAGGGAACCUUACGCUAAUACCGAAUACGACCUACGGGUGAAAGCAGGGGACCUUCGUGCCUUGCGCGAUUGAAUGAGCCGAUGUCGGAUUAGCUAGUUGGCGGGGUAAAGGCCCACCAAGGCGACGAUCCGUAGCUGGUCUGAGAGGAUGAUCAGCCACACUGGAACUGAGACACGGUCCAGACUCCUACGGGAGGCAGCAGUGGGGAAUAUUGGACAAUGGGCGCAAGCCUGAUCCAGCCAUACCGCGUGGGUGAAGAAGGCCUUCGGGUUGUAAAGCCCUUUUGUUGGGAAAGAAAUCCAGCUGGCUAAUACCCGGUUGGGAUGACGGUACCCAAAGAAUAAGCACCGGCUAACUUCGUGCCAGCCGCCGCAGUAA
RNAcentral lists this ribosomal RNA (506 nucleotides) under uncultured bacterium. Its description in RNAcentral is "partial 16S ribosomal RNA". It matches the Rfam family "Bacterial small subunit ribosomal RNA", at positions 29 to 523 of the family's 1533-position model. The record is from RNAcentral.